RNAcentral lists this unclassified non-coding RNA (222 nucleotides) under Hevea brasiliensis (rubber tree). The record is from RNAcentral. Lineage: Eukaryota; Viridiplantae; Streptophyta; Magnoliopsida; Malpighiales; Euphorbiaceae.
AGGCGGCAGCUCUUGCCGCAGCGGAGAAGGCCGGCGGCUUUCGGGAGUGACCGCCAACAGCCCUCGCCGUGGGUGCGGAUAUGUGCGAUAAGCCGGUCGUCUUCUUCCUUAGUCCAGGCUCCCUUGUUGGUGUGGGCUUUCUCGCAGCAUGGAGACCUCCCCAUGACUCUGUUGUUGUGGAUGGUGUUACCUUCUUCUUCUUCUGCUACUUAUGGAGUCCCA